This is a non-coding RNA of Triticum urartu, 1000 nucleotides long. NCBI's taxonomy places the organism in Eukaryota, Viridiplantae, Streptophyta, Magnoliopsida, Poales, Poaceae. The record is from RefSeq and is a predicted model, not a curated record.
CGGCGCAUCCUCCACCCAUGCCGACGUCUUCGCAUCCCCCAUCCACGCCGCCGAACCUGGAGGUCCGGACCAACAAAGGCAAAGUGAGCCGGGACGACGGCAAACCACCCCCUCCCAUCGAUGCGGAUCAGGUCAGGAAAGAGAUGCGGUGGCCAGACCUUCACAUCCUUUCUUUCCUCCCUCAUGGAGGAUGAACUAAAGCGGCGACAUCCCUGGUGGGAGCGAACAAGGGUGUGAACCCAACUCAAUACUGCAGCUGGCGAGUGACGCGAGAGACCUCACUCCCUUCGCCAGAUCAUCGCCGAAAUCGACGCACAGAUGACCGGCACCAGGGAGGAGUUCGACAGCGAGGAGAGGAUCUGCGUUGCCGUGGUCAACGAACGAGCCCAACGAGGUGGGAGACCAUGCUACUCAUCAUCGCUGAGAAAGGGUUCAUCAAUAUCGUCGUCGAGUUGCUCAAGCUCUGACAAGGAGAGCCUUGCGAGGAAGAACAAAUCAGGAUUCGAUGCUCUGCAUGUCACUUCAAAGGAAGGCCACGGAGUGUGCCAUUGCCUACACAAGCUAAUGAGCAAGAAAGAUGGACAUCUGACACUGCUUGUAGAUAUUGUGAAGGUACUCCUGGACCAUGAUCGAUCCCUUGGGAAAACGUUUGGCCAAUCAAAAUGUGACUCCUCUGAUAACUGUGGCGAUUAGAGGCCGCCAUGAUGUAGCGAACCUUCUGCUGGAGCGAGAUUCUGGAUUGCUUAAACUAUCAAAGGCAAACAGAACAACAAUUUUUAUUUUCCUGGUACAGGGAAUCUCCAGGCACGACAAAGUAUGUAUUUACAUCAGAAAAAUUCCUUAGCUUUUGCAGAAACAUGAUUUUGGUUUAUUUAUUAGCACUACCCCAAUUACAUUGGAUUUGUAUUCACACUUCUCAAAGUAAGGUAGCAUGGUCCAUCUUUGUAGGGUCGUAUUUGGUAACCGUAACUUACCACAAUACCAAUUCUAAGUUUAUUGU